RNAcentral lists this ribosomal RNA (722 nucleotides) under Macridiscus multifarius. Its description in RNAcentral is "partial large subunit ribosomal RNA". The stretch from base 347 to 595 matches the Rfam family "Archaeal large subunit ribosomal RNA", at positions 1786 to 2143 of the family's 2987-position model. The record is from RNAcentral. Lineage: Eukaryota; Metazoa; Mollusca; Bivalvia; Venerida; Veneridae.
UUUUUCGAAAGGGUUGGUAGCUGGUUAGGGGGAAAAUACAUUUCAGUGUAGAGGUGGUCAAGGUUGAAAAUAUUAUUAUAAUCGAUUUUCCAUUAUUAAGAUUUUCUGGGAUAAGCUAGGAAAUACAAUUAAAUAAAAAAGUAAGUAAGUAGGAUUAGAAGUGUCUACCUUAUAAAAAGUUAGUAACAAGGUAUUUUUUAUCAAACGUUUAUUUAGUACCCUCUGUUUUUUAUUAAUAUUAUAAGAUGCAUAAGUAUAAAAUUAGUAGCUGGCAUUUAACUUGGUGAAUUAAUUAAUAAGCUAUUACUGAUAAUAAAUUUAUUAUUAGUUAUCUAGUAAAAUAAGUUAAUUAUAAUACUCUUCAAAGGAACUCGACAAAUAUUCUCUUCGCCUGUUUAACAAAAACAUGGCUUUUUGUUUAGUCUAAGAUGAAAAGUCGGACCUGCCCAGUGAGAUAUUAAACGGUUGCGACGAGAGUUGUACUAAGGUAGCGCGAUAAUUUGUCUUUUUAUUGGGGAAUGGGAUGAAGGGUUUGACGAAGAGUGAUUGUCUCUGAAGAGAAAAGUGAAGUUUCCUUUUAAAUGAAAAGGUUUAAGUGAUAUUAAAAGACGAGAAGACCCUAUCGAGCUUGAUUAAACAAAGAAUUAAUUACCAAAAGAAAUAUUAUGUUAGUAGAUUGAGUAAAAUUCUAUUGUUAAAGUUUAGUUGGGGUAAGCUGGUUU